CCUACGGGUGGCUGCAGUAGGGAAUUUUCGUCAAUGGGCGCAAGCCUGAACGAGCAAUGCCGCGUGAACGAGGAAGGUCUUCGGAUCGUAAAGUUCUGUUGAAGGGGAAAAAAAGCGGAUAGAGGAAAUGAACUCCGAUUGAUAUUACCCUUCGAGGAAGUCACGUCUAACUACGUGCCAGCAGCCGCGGUAAUACGUAGGUGGCGAGCGUUAUCUGGAAUGAGUGGGCGUAAAGGGUGCGUAGGCGGCCUGCUAAGUCUGGAGUGAAAGGUACCGGCUCAACCGGUAGAGGCGCUGGAAACUGGCGGGCUAGAGAGCAGGAGAGGGAGGUGGAAUUCCAUGUGUAGCGGUAAAAUGCGUAGAUAUAUGGAAGAACACCAGUGGCGAAGGCGGCCGCCUGGACUGUUACUGACGCUGAGGCACGAAAGCGUGGGGAGCAAAUAGGAUUAGAUACCCCAGUAGUC
RNAcentral lists this ribosomal RNA (464 nucleotides) under uncultured bacterium. RNAcentral describes it as "partial 16S ribosomal RNA". It matches the Rfam family "Bacterial small subunit ribosomal RNA", at positions 338 to 795 of the family's 1533-position model. The record is from RNAcentral.